UACGUAGGGUGCGAGCGUUGUCCGGAAUUAUUGGGCGUAAAGAGCUUGUAGGCGGUUUGUCGCGUCUGCUGUGAAAUCUCAAGGCUCAACCUUGAGCUUGCAGUGGGUACGGGCAGACUAGAGUGUGGUAGGGGAGACUGGAAUUCCUGGUGUAGCGGUGAAAUGCGCAGAUAUCAGGAGGAAUACCUAUGGCGAAAGCAGGUAUCUGGGCCAUCACUGACGCUGAGCUGCGAAAGCUAGGGGAGCAAACAGG
RNAcentral lists this ribosomal RNA (253 nucleotides) under uncultured bacterium. RNAcentral describes it as "partial 16S ribosomal RNA". It matches the Rfam family "Bacterial small subunit ribosomal RNA", at positions 524 to 776 of the family's 1533-position model. The record is from RNAcentral.